AGAGUUUGAUCCUGGCUCAGGACGAACGCUGGCGGCGUGGAUUAGGCAUGCAAGUCGAGCGACGGAUAGCUUUCGGGCUAUUACGGAGCGGCGAACGGGUGAGUAACACGUGAACAAUUUGUCCUCACGUUCCGGAUAAUUGGGAGAAAUCCCUUGUAAUACGGGCGAGGGUCACGACAGGGCAUCCUGUUGUGAAGGAACGUUCAGGCAUUUAUGUUUGAGCGGCGCGAGGAGAUGUUCGCGGCCUAUCAGGUAGUUGGUGGGGUAAUGGCCUACCAAGCCGACGACGGGUAGCUGGUCUGAGAGGAUGGUCAGCCACAUUGGGACUGAGACACUGCCCAGACUCCUACGGGAGGCUGCAGUCGAGAAUCUUGGGCAAUGCACGAAAGUGUGACCCAGCGACGCCGCGUGAAGGAUGAAGGCCCUCUGGGUUGUAAACUUCUUUUAUGGGGGAAGAACGGGCUCACGCCCUUGACGGUACCCCAUGAAUAAGCCACGGCUAACUACGUGCCAGCAGCCGCGGUAAUACGUAGGUGGCAAGCGUUGUCCGGAUUUACUGGGCGUAAAGCGUGCGCAGGCGGACGGGUAAGUAGGAAGUGAAAGGUUGGAGCUCAACUCCAACACUGCUCCCUAUACUGCCUGUCUUGAAUGUCGAAGAGGAAGAGGGAACGACACGUGUAGCGGUGAAAUGCGUUGAGAUGUGUCGGAACACCAAUGGCGAAAGCACUCUUCUGGACGAAUAUUGACGCUCAUGCACGAAAGCUAAGGUAGCAAACAGGAUUAGAUACCCUGGUAGUCUUAGCCAUAAACGAUGUUCACUAGGUGUUGGGGCGUAAGCCUCGGUGCCGCAGCUAACGCAUUAAGUGAACC
Molecule: ribosomal RNA, 870 nt
Filed under: uncultured Planctomycetota bacterium
Lineage: Bacteria; Pseudomonadati; Planctomycetota
Description: bacterial SSU rRNA
Rfam family: Bacterial small subunit ribosomal RNA
Source: RNAcentral